Molecule: long non-coding RNA, 2162 nt
Filed under: Homo sapiens (human)
Lineage: Eukaryota; Metazoa; Chordata; Mammalia; Primates; Hominidae
Description: HSALNT0087581
Source: RNAcentral
AAAAAGAAUGCAUAAUAACAUUUUAUAUGCUAGUGAUUACAAUUUUAGGCAUCAACUAUACCAUUAAUAUUUAUUGAGUACCUACUAUUUGCCAUAAAUCAGACAAAUACCUGGAAAUACAAUGGUUAAAAAGGAAGGCAUGCUUUUUUAAUUCAUAUAAUCAUUGUAAAAUGAGUCAGUUAUGGAAUGGUUUAUUGUUUAUUACAAAUAAUUAAUAGGGAGGAGAGAGGGAGCAUGAUGACAGGUUGAUCAACAGGUAUAAAGUUAUUAUCAUUAGAUAAGAGGAAUACAUUCUGAUGUAUUGCACAAUAGGGUGACUAUGGUUAACAGCAAAAUAUUGUAUAUUACAAAAUAGCUAGAAAAGAGGCUUAUGAAUGUUCUCAUCACAAAAAAAUGAUAAACACAUGAGGUGAUGGACACACUAAAUACUAUGAUUGGAUCAUUAUAUAACACAAAUAUGUAUGGAAACAUCAAAUUGUACCCCAUGGAUAAGUACAAUUACAAUAUGUCCAUUAGAAAAUAAAUAUAUUUUCAAAAAAAUCUUAAAAUGAUUAAUGUAUUCUCUACUCAAAAAAGUUUAUUCUUAUAAUAAUAACUAAAAUUAGUAUGCUCCUGAUGACAGCAGCUUUCUUAUUUUAUCUAACAGUUCUUCAUGCUUCAAGAUUCCUAAACUUGCUUCUUAUCAGCUCUAUUGAGCUAUAAUUUACUUACAAUAAAAUUCACCUAUUUCAAGUGUUAGAUGAGUUUUGACAAAUGUACAUGCCCCUGUAACCACCACCAUAAUCACUUUCAGUUUAUCUUAAAAGAACUCAUAUCUGGACUGCUUAAUUGAAGGGUACACAGUCAUGACUAUGGAGCACUUAGACAUCAGCACUCCCUCCUAAGGUGCUAAGUAGAGUCAUUAUGCAAAGUGAAUAACUCUAAGGGUGAGGAUAUCCUCAACAUCCUCACUCCUACUUGUGGGUUGAAAAUUAGGCAUAAGAAGGCCAAUUGCCAGAUAAUGCUGUUGCUCUGAGGUUUGUGUACAAACUGAAAGGUUGAAGUGUACCCUUUCAGCACCAGGAUUCAUUUCCAGCAGAUCCAUUCUCCUCUCUGUGGCUUACACCAGCCAAAGCAACAUUGCUACAAGCUCUUAGCAUUCUUCUUCACGCUCACCCCGUAGACAAGCAUAUUGUCCUGUCUGGAGUGUCCUCUUCACCGACACAUUCCAAGCUGCUUUGGCUUGGGAGAAUCUAAACUUGGGCCUGAUGACAGAUAACUGAAAUCUUUUACGAGAACUCCAAAAAGGAAAAAAAAAAAAAAAAGAGGAAAGGAACUAGAGCUGCACGUCAAGUCACACUGUGUUGUCAGCUACUUUAGCUGACUGAGAAAUACAAUUCUUUGGAAUGGAAGAAGUUUCAGUGAUAACCUUGUUGGGAAAUGAUAUCAAAGGACAAAGGUGUCAUUUUUAAAUGUGUAACUUAGUACUAUCAGCACUGUUAAUUUCUCUGGCCACUUUAACUCUUAAAACUGCUGCAGUGUGAGUGUGUGAGUAUCACUUAUGCACAAGACCAUUUUAUCAGUAAGGUACAAGAUGACAUAUUCAUAGAAUAAGCACAUUGCCUAUAUAGAAAAUAUGUAAUAUAUUGUUUAGGCUUCAGCAAUGUUGAGGUAAAAGUAUUUAUUAAAAGGACAUACUAGCUUCGUUGCCUUAAAUUAAGUAUUAAUCUUUGGUCCUCUUGGCCCUACCGUUUUCAUUUGAGAUGCCCAGUUUGUAUUUGGAGUUUAUAAUCACUUACAAGAUAUUUAGUGAUAGUUCUAAAACAAGCAGGUGAUUUUAAUUUAGUAACUGUUCAAUUUAGUAAUUUAGUAACUGUGACACAACUAGCAGCCUUAGUGGAAGUUUGAAAUAACGUACAAAGUUAAUGCUUAUGAACAGGUAAAAAAUGAAUGAUUAAUGCCUAAUAUAUCUAGAUAAUUGAUCAAAGGGGUGUGUGUGUGUGUGUAGAUUUUUAUCCAUCCAGUUGUUAACAUGUUUCUCUAUUUUUCUUUAUAUACUCAAAAUGUGUUUACUGCUUGGUGUUAUUUCUUUAAUAUCUGAAAAUUUAAGUGACAAAAUGAACUAUAUCAUGUAUCAAAAUAUUUUAAUGCUUGAUUUACAUUUCAAGGUUUUUAUCCUCAAA